UAUCUGCCCACUGCUGGACAUAUGCCUUC
RNAcentral lists this small RNA (29 nucleotides) under Bombyx mori (domestic silkworm). RNAcentral describes it as "ovarian small RNA-23786". Lineage: Eukaryota; Metazoa; Arthropoda; Insecta; Lepidoptera; Bombycidae. The record is from RNAcentral.